UUUCCUCUCCUCCUUGUAGAUCUCCAUCGGAAUGCAGAGCAAGGAUUUCUCUCCCCCCCCCUUCUUUAAGUUUUGAAUUCCUCAAUGAUUCCCCCCUUCUUCCAGAAAGGCGGCUUAGGAUAAUUAUUUCAGCUUUAUUGAGGGCAGAUUAGGAGAAGUCUGGAUGCUGUGUUUCAAUACGCGUUCUACAUGCCUGGACAAUGUCC
This 206-nucleotide long non-coding RNA is filed under the name Salvator merianae (Argentine black and white tegu). RNAcentral's name for it is "Six3os1 conserved region 7 (ENSSMRG00000018504.1)". It matches the Rfam family "Six3os1 conserved region 7". The record is from RNAcentral. Lineage: Eukaryota; Metazoa; Chordata; Lepidosauria; Squamata; Teiidae.